This 899-nucleotide ribosomal RNA is filed under the name Alteromonadales bacterium. Its description in RNAcentral is "bacterial SSU rRNA". It matches the Rfam family "Bacterial small subunit ribosomal RNA", at positions 1 to 846 of the family's 1533-position model. The record is from RNAcentral. Lineage: Bacteria; Pseudomonadati; Pseudomonadota; Gammaproteobacteria; Alteromonadales.
GAGCUCUCCCAUAUGGUCGACCUGCAGGCGGCCGCGAAUUCACUAGUGAUUGUUUGAUCCUGGCUCAGAUUGAACGCUGGCGGCAGGCUUAACACAUGCAAGUCGAACGGUAACAGAGAAUAGCUUGCUAUUCUGCUGACGAGUGGCGGACGGGUGAGUAAUGCUUGGGAAUUUGCCGAAAGGUGGGGGACAACAGUUGGAAACGACUGCUAAUACCGCAUAAUGUCUACGGACCAAAGGUGGCCUCUAUUUAUAUGCUAUCGCCUUUCGAUGAGCCCAAGUGGGAUUAGCUAGUUGGUAAGGUAAUGGCUUACCAAGGCGACGAUCCCUAGCUGGUCUUAGAGGAUGACCAGCCACACUGGAACUGAGACACGGUCCAGACUCCUACGGGAGGCAGCAGUGGGGAAUAUUGCACAAUGGGGGAAACCCUGAUGCAGCCAUGCCGCGUGUGUGAAGAAGGCUUUCGGGUUGUAAAGCACUUUCAGCGAGGAGGAAAGGGUAAUGGCUAAUAUCCAUUAUCUGUGACGUUACUCGCAGAAGAAGCACCGGCUAACUCCGUGCCAGCAGCCGCGGUAAUACGGAGGGUGCAAGCGUUAAUCGGAAUUACUGGGCGUAAAGCGCGCGUAGGUGGUUAAUUAAGUCAGAUGUGAAAGCCCAGGGCUCAACCUUGGAACUGCAUUUGAAACUGGUUGACUAGAGUUUUGUAGAGGGUGGUAGAAUUUCAGGUGUAGCGGUGAAUGCGUAGAGAUCUGAAGGAAUACCAGUGGCGAAGGCGGCCACCUGGACAAAGACUGACACUGAGGCGCGAAGGCGUGGGGAGCAAACGGGGAUUAGAUACCCCGGUAGUCCACGCAGUAAACGAUGUCUAUUAGAAGUUUGUGGCUAUGUGCCGUGGGUUU